Long non-coding RNA from Diceros bicornis minor, 1748 nucleotides. RefSeq lists it as uncharacterized. The record is from RefSeq and is a predicted model, not a curated record. The transcript has 3 exons. NCBI's taxonomy places the organism in Eukaryota, Metazoa, Chordata, Mammalia, Perissodactyla, Rhinocerotidae.
CCCUUCUAGUUGCUAGAGGGGAUGCUGUCCCAUUCAUGACUCAUUUAAUAAAGCCAAAUAGGUCUUCAAAUUUAUUCAAUUGGAUUUAACUUUUAUCACAGAUUUGGUGGCAACAUCAGGAUCUGAAGUGAACUUCUGACGGCAUUCAGGGAAAACAAGAAACACAGGUGUGGUGCCCUGUGAACUCUUUUGAGUUCACAGUCUUUGUCAGGGUGUCCAAGGGCCCUUGGUUAAAGAAGCCUCCCCAGAUCCCAGUUCAAAGAAUCCUGUGGUUUCAGUCUAGAACCUGGUGACUGGGUAUUCUGGAAGUGUCAUCAGCCCUUGAGCUCCAUUGGAAGAGACCUUACCAAAAACUCCUGACCCCUAACAUUGCUACAAAACUAGAAGACACUGAGCCUUGGAUAAACAUCUCUCAGCUAAAGAAGGCUCCACUUGACAUCUGGACCUGUACAGAUGCUGGAAAUCUCCAAUUCAAACUGACAGGGAAGAGAAGAAGGUGAUAUUGAGGAAUGUGAUGACCCCUGGGCAGAGGGUCUAUGCUGAUAGCCAUCAUCAAUGACAACUGAAAGAUCAAGAUAUUGGGCAUUGCUCCAGUCUCUGAUGCAUAUCAAGUAAAACAAAAGACUGCCAGGAACUAAGACCAGAUGGAUGCUCCCACUCUGAGACCAGCUGCCUCCACCCAGUAAUCAGGUGGAUGCCCCCACCUUGAGACCAGAUGCUUCCCCCACUUAGAAACCAGCCCUCUAUAUAACUGGCCUGUAGUGUUUGUUCUAGAAGAUGGGUUUUUUUUGUACAUGAGUCGGCCAUCUUCCCUCUUGAUAGCAAGCUGUAAUAAAGCUCUCUCUCUCCUACCACCUUGCCUCUUGACUAUUGGCAUGUCUUGUGGUGGGAAGAUGAAUCCCCUUUUUGGGCAGUAACACUUGUAUGUAGUUUAAAAGGUUACAAGCAUUUUUGCAUAUUCUAUCCUUUUUAAUAUUUAAUUUUGUGACUUAGGAUCUGUGUUUACUCUAUUUUGAGAAAGAAUGUCCACAAAACUCAUUGCUAGAUUGGUAAAUUCUAAAUGCACUUUAAUUCUCAUAAAGGAAGAAGCUGAGGCUCAGAGAAAAGGGUCAGUCAGUCAGUGAGGAAGCUGGUCUCCAUUCCAGGUACCAUCCAGUGCUUUCCAUGGUACUACACAUCCUUCCCUGCCCUUUUACUCAUGCCUUUGAAUGGGGAAAUGGCAUCAGAGUCCCCAAAGGAGGAGUGAAUAAAUUAAAAUAACAGCAGAGAUCAAGAUCUGAGGCCCUAGGGAGAUGCAGCUCACUGAAUCUGACUCACUUGAAGGUGCCAAAACUGGUCUAUUGUAUUGAACAUAAUACACAAUGGGAAAGUGGCAUUGCGACACAGAGAGUGCCUUUUCUCCAGCUAGGAGGGAAUAAAUUAAUACAUUCAGUUUCAAAUAUCUGCCCCUAAGUCAAGUUUGAGUCUUUGUGGAAAUGAAAAAGAAGAUAAUAUGUGAACUGUAUUGUUGAACCACUAAAUGUAGCAUAACAUAGGUAUUAAGAUCCUACAUUCUGGAGCCAGAGGGUCUGGGUUUGAAUCCCAGUCCAUAACUUGUUAGCUUUGUGACUAAUUUUUCCGAUCAUCAAUUCUGAUUUGUUGAGAUUUUUCCCCACACCACCAAGCAAUUCUCUGACACCAGUUGGGUGUCCUAAAAUUUGAGUAAGUUUUGACACUAUCUACCCAGAGAUAGCCUCAGAUUCAACAGG